GACCCAGUGGCGGAUGGUUCCGUGUCUGUAUAACUUGUUGGUGGAACGUGUCGAAAUACGCAGAAGUAGCUCGUUCGAAUCGGGUCUGGGUCA
Mycena rebaudengoi is the source of this 93-nucleotide non-coding RNA. NCBI's taxonomy places the organism in Eukaryota, Fungi, Basidiomycota, Agaricomycetes, Agaricales, Mycenaceae. The record is from the annotation of a GenBank genome assembly.